UCGGUCAAACAAUGACGGAGCAUCUUCUUCCUUUCUUCUAUCCUUGUUUGAACAAUUGGCAGGCUGCGUUUGAAAUCUACUGAUUUCAAACUUCAUUUUUAGGCUUUGCGUUACAAUAAAUGACUUUGCAUUGUAGGUCAAUGAACUCGUCUUAUCAUCAACAUUCAUAAUAUGCAAAAAAAUCUCAUUGUUCCAUUUUAAAAAAUGGUAAUGACCUUGACACAGCUUCAGCACAUGCGACAAAAUAAAAAAUAGUAGCUACAUUUGGUUGUUCCCUUCGAAUAAUCUAACAUUUACCUGAGAAAUCUUUUUGUAUCAACAAUAGUUUGACCAUUAUCGCUCUCUAAUAGUUUAACUGUUCCACCGUGUAUGUACGCGGACUUUCCUCAGACUUCUUUGAACUCAAUUUUUCCUCAAGGUGCAAUAUCGAUUGCAAAAUGCUGUUAUAAAAACCUCGUGACGUACCAGACGUGUCAAAAAUUAUUUUCCUUAUCGCGAAGUUUAAUCUAUGCCAUGACGCACGAUAUAGUACGUACGUAUAGACAAGGAAAAUGGUUUUGUGAUUCAAUGAAAUAAUUCAUUUUACUGAGAACAUCAUCAAAAUACCCAGAUAGCACAGAGACGUCCCUGGGACGUCCGGCGUGGACAUUCUAUGUACGUCCUUGGGACGUCCGAUGUGGACAUUCCCAGAAGGUUCUCUGCAUGUCCCUGGGACGUUCGGUGUGGACAUUCCCAAAACAUUUUCCGAACGAUCGAAAUGAACGUUAAAAUGAAAUUUAUGUUUAGAAGAUGUGUGUAUUGAAUAUUUGGACAAUGUUGAAUAAAUUUUGAAAAUUGAGAUUUAAAAAAAAAUUAAAUUUUAAUUUUAUAUAUUUUCUUUUAUUUGUUGGUAGACUUUAGUCAACUGUAUUUAUUAACAAAUCUUUCCAAUUUUUUUAUUUACCUCCGGGGGGAUUCGAACUCACGAUUUUCGAACUACCAAACGCAACCUGCUCCUCACUUACCCAUAAACGCCUUUGCUAACCCGACUCAUAUUUUGGGCUUAUAUAGUGACUCGCAUUAAUAUUCGGACACUUUUUAAAACACAAUUCCUUCUUUUGAAAUUGGUCUAAAUGACUUGAACUUUUUUUUGAAGAGUUAGAAGAAUUACUUUACUAGGUAAUUCUGAAUAGUUCCAAAUAUUACAUACAUAUCACAUCUCAUAUGUACAAAAAAUAUUGUAUUCCUAAUAUUGAAUAAACAUUUUGUUUUACAUGUGCAAACAUAUAUUCUGUUGCGAAUAUUAGAUAAAUAUGUGUUUUAUCUACGGAAAAACGUAUUCUGUUGCGAAUAUUAAAUAAUGACUGUAUACCCAGAUAGCACAGGAACAGGAACGUCUUAUGUACGUCCAUGGAACGUCCGGUGCUGGACAUUCCCAGAACGUUUUCUGUACGUUCUCUGUACGUCCAUGGGACGUCCGGUGCUAUCUGGGUAUGUCGCACUUACUCUGAUGCAAGUAGCUUUGCAUCUAUACAAUAAAGAAAGAAACCAAAACUUGGAGAGUCUAUUCAACUGGAAUGAAAAAAUAAUAAAGAACCAUACAAACACUAAGAAAAUAAAAAUAGACAAAGAAUCAGGCAGAGAUAUAGAGAAUAAAGCAAUUCCUACGUCAAGAACAAACCAGCACUUCUUAGAAAAACACAAUCUCAAAAAAGAAGAAACAGUAAUACUGGUAAAAAUAAAAACAUUUGAAAUACAUAAAAAUGCGGCCUAUAGAAAAAAAGGGUAAUUUUUAGGUACAAAUUGUGCCGUAAUCAUGCAAUAAAAACUGUGUAAUUAUAUAUACAGACGGCUCGAAGCAACAAAACAGAAAAGCAAAUGGAGUGGGCCUAAUUAUAAUACAUCCAAACAGGGAGGAAGAGGAAAUAGGAUACAGUAUAAACAAUAAAGGCACUAUAUACACAACAUGAGCAAUAGGUUUAGAAACAAUAAUAGAAAAAUCAGAAAUCUCAGAUAAAAAGAAGGACAAUGGAUGGAUAUUUAAUAUCUACAAAACUCUGAUUGACAUGGAAAAGCUAGAAACUGCAGUAUUAGGAUGGAUCCCAGGGCAUCAAGGAAUACCAGGAAACGAGAAGGCAGACAAGAAGCGACUUCUUAGUAGACCAGAAAAAUAAAAUCUGGGAAGAAUUCAGCACCAGAGUAGAAGAAAUCGGAAGAGAAAAAGGAGUUUGCUAUUUCACACACUUCUAGGAACGGAAGAAAAAAUACAAAUUCAAACCAUGGUUCUUCAAAAUAGGAAAGGGACUAAACAGGGAAACGAUCAGGACAAUGUCCAGGAUUAGAUCUAAUCAUAUGAACUUAAAAGAAUCGCUAGACAGAAAGCGCAUUAUAGAAAGCAAAAUCUGUGAUUGCAACAUGGAUGAGAAAACCAUAGGGGACAAAUACAAUAACUUCCCUAUAAAUCGAGAAGUUAAAAAACACGUACUGCUUUAAGAAAGAAAUUUAUAUUUUGCUAUUACAUGUUUACUACAAUAGUACGGGUAUCACUAAGACUUUGUCAGUAUUGUUAUUAAUUUUAUAAUUUAUAUCGUACGUUAGAAAAAAAAAGAGAGAGUGAAAGGUUAAGACUAGCAUUCCUAAAGGGAGAAUAGAAAAAGAGGAUCCAACUCUCUACACCAAAAGCAAAAGUGUACAAUUUGUAGAAUAAGGAACAAGCGAAAAGAAUAGACUAGGAAAUUAGGAUAAAAUGUAGGCAUUAACUGGGAUAGAAACUAAAAUAACACUAACGAGUAAAUAAUAAUUAAAAAAAAAAACAAUGGUCAAAUAAAACAGUAUUAUUGUAAACCGUCAAACAACCAGCGUCGCGUAGAAUAUAAGUAAAUAGAAUAAGGAGUUAGAUAUAAGCAAAGAACAUUGUGAAAAGGAAAUGUGUUUAUAAC
Hylaeus volcanicus is the source of this 2918-nucleotide long non-coding RNA. RefSeq lists it as uncharacterized. The record is from RefSeq and is a predicted model, not a curated record. Lineage: Eukaryota; Metazoa; Arthropoda; Insecta; Hymenoptera; Colletidae. The transcript has 3 exons.